This 184-nucleotide unclassified non-coding RNA is filed under the name Tolypocladium parasiticum. Its description in RNAcentral is "partial internal transcribed spacer 2". The record is from RNAcentral. Lineage: Eukaryota; Fungi; Ascomycota; Sordariomycetes; Hypocreales; Ophiocordycipitaceae.
CAACCCUCGAGCCCCCGUGGCUUGGUGUUGGGGACCGGCGACCCCGCCCGCACCUCGGUGCAGGCGCCCGCCGCCCCCGAAAUGAAUUGGCGGCCUCGUCGCGGCCUCCUCUGCGUAGUACCACAGCCUCGCAACAGGAGCGCGACGCGGCCACUGCCGUAAAACGCCCCAGCUUUGUUUUCAG